RNAcentral lists this transfer RNA (82 nucleotides) under Geitlerinema sp. PCC 7407. Its description in RNAcentral is "tRNA-Leu (TAG) (tRNA-Leu-TAG-1-1)". It matches the Rfam family "tRNA". From Rfam's summary of the family: Transfer RNA (tRNA) molecules are approximately 80 nucleotides in length. Their secondary structure includes four short double-helical elements and three loops (D, anti-codon, and T loops). The record is from Rfam by way of RNAcentral. RNAcentral also lists the same sequence under 5 other names. Lineage: Bacteria; Bacillati; Cyanobacteriota; Cyanophyceae; Geitlerinematales; Geitlerinemataceae.
GCGGACGUGGCGGAAUUGGUAGACGCGCUAGAUUUAGGUUCUAGUGCCGCAAGGCGUGAAGGUUCAAGUCCUUUCGUCCGCA